CUUUUUGUGCAUAAUGUAUAUAUAGGGGGGUGGUAGUACUCUUGGGGUAGACAGGCAUGUGCUGGGAUGGCAUGCCAAGGCGUGUGCUGGGAUGGCAUGCCUUGGUGUGAGCUGGGAUGGCAUGCCAAGGACAAGCAUGUGCUGGGAAGGCAUGGCAAGGCCAAUACAAGGCCAAGGCAAGCACAUGCAUUGCUAGCGAGACGAGACGGUUAUGUUUACCCCAAGAGUGCCCAAGGGAGAGGAAAGAAGUGUCAAACGCAUGCUGAGGCCCCACUUCGGUAGUUUGGCACCCCCAUAGGCAUUCAGGCAAGCGUGCCUAUGGGAAAAGUCGGUUGAGCUUGUCUGCCAUGUUGGGUAUUAUUCUACGGACGAGAUGAUGGCACAAGGAUGCUUGCUUUAAGGUAACGUUCCGGCAGCACAGCCAGCCCGCAAUUGCUAGUUCAAGCGGGUGGAAUCUGCCUAUAGGGGUGUUGCUUGCUUGCUGUGGAUUUGGGACACGCCCAAUAUCUAUCAUCGACCCAACGAAGUGCUCAACAUGGGUUGCUGAGGGCUAUUUUGGCACUGAUGGUUCACUUGUUUGCUUGGCUUUGAUAAACGUUUAGAUGUCAUGAUGCUUGGGAUCCAAUAAAUUUAUGUGGGAAGCUAAGAGCUGGAACCCAAUGUCAUUCACCAGACGGCUUAGCUUCGUCAGUGUGUAUGAUAUGUCAUUGAACCCCAAUCCUCGAUGCCAAGCUGAUUAUGACUUUUGGAUCGCAAUAUUCAUGGCUAUCGAAAGCUGAGUAGGAGUCAUGGAAUAAGUGAACAAUUCGUAGCCUUUAUAGCUGUCAGCUUUCGCAUCGCCCGGUGUGUUUUGGGAAUCGCUUUGUGCAUUUGGCUGCCUGCCGUGCCUCUUGGCAUACGGUGGGUGCCACUUGCCGGGUGGUUUUCGGAAACAUCCAUCGUAAAGGUGCAUGAGUGGUGUUUGGUUUGUUACGGGUGGUUGGCUCUUUGCUUGCGCAACAACUGCCACCCGACUUACCUCUUCAGAUGUUUGCCUAGGCUUGUAUAGCCUAAGCAGAUUGUGGGUUUCCUGUGUUGCCUACCUACGUCACGGAAUUGUCCCGAUCGAUCAAAGUUGCUUUCGUCUUGUGUCGUCUUGAUGGCAUAAGAUGAAUCAUGAAGCUGUCUCUUUGCACCGCAUCGUUAAUGCAUGCAUUGAUGUUGUAGCCCAUUGAGCAUUGCUUGGUACCUUGGAUACGGAACCUUAUGUGGGCAUGGGUCCUUAGGGAUCCUUGUUCUGCCCUCGUUUAGCGUUCGCGCUUCUCUUAGAAUGACUGCCCAGCCGGAAUGGGAAGCCAUUCUGGGUGGGCAUCGUCAAAGAGGAAUGC
This 1367-nucleotide unclassified non-coding RNA is filed under the name Helianthus cusickii. Its description in RNAcentral is "partial external transcribed spacer". The record is from RNAcentral. Lineage: Eukaryota; Viridiplantae; Streptophyta; Magnoliopsida; Asterales; Asteraceae.